AGCCUGUGAUGUUUUCAGAUAUUAGAGUAGUGGACAGAAGUAAUUUCUGAAAACUCUGCACUGAGGCU
This is a small nucleolar RNA of Anser brachyrhynchus (Pink-footed goose), 68 nucleotides long. NCBI's taxonomy places the organism in Eukaryota, Metazoa, Chordata, Aves, Anseriformes, Anatidae. The record is from Ensembl.